Vespa velutina is the source of this 1760-nucleotide long non-coding RNA. RefSeq lists it as uncharacterized. The transcript has 4 exons. NCBI's taxonomy places the organism in Eukaryota, Metazoa, Arthropoda, Insecta, Hymenoptera, Vespidae. The record is from RefSeq and is a predicted model, not a curated record.
UUGUUGCUCAUCGCUGUUGGUCGCGAUGGAUUAGGAUUAUGUGUAAGACAAUCCAAGGAUGAUAGUAAACAAUAUGGGAAAGGUGCUACUUUCCCAUCCUGAAAGAUCAAUUAAUGCUGACUUAUCGAUUACCAGAUACAUAAGUAUUGCAAUUGAUAAAAAGAAAAAUAAAUUGAUGAAAUCUUAAUGUUUGGGAUGACGCAUAUUUUAUGUCCCAAAAAGUACACGAAAAACAUUUAAUUUUUGGAAGAACUGGUAAUGCUGGCUGUAGAUCGAAAAAAGAAGGUUACGAUAAUAGCUGAUUUGGUGGCAAUUGUAGUGACUGUUUAGCAGGAGGUGAAGGUGAAGGUUAUAUGGUUGAUGAAUCCUAAAUCUGGUGAAGUUUACAUAAUAGUUACCACAAGAAGUUAUGGUUGCAAUUUUCGUUGUGUUGUUCCUGAUUUAUAUCUAACAACAAGGUUUUUGUGUCUACCAGCUUGGAUCCUCAGCAGUGAUUCCAGAUCAUGUACCAGUAAAUGAUACGUUACUAAUAUUUAAUUAUCAUUAUUAUGUAAUCAUUAUUAUUAGAAAUAGAUAUUUUCUAACGGGAACUUAAUAUUAUAGUUCCUGAUAACUCAAAGGUUUCUUACCAACCAUUUAUAAUUUUGUUAAUAAUCGCUAGUACGAUUUUAUUACUUACUUUCACUGGAUUUUGUCUGCUGCUUUAUAAUCGCUGUCAGAAUCGAAAAAAUCUUUUAUAAUAUCGGCAAGUGAUGUUUGAAAAUGGUAUGGAGUUCACAGUCUUGGAAGCUAUCUCAAACACGAUAAUGACCAAGUUUAAUCCGAAUUACGGAUUCAUUAGAAACAUAUAUAGUUUUAUAGGUUUACCUUAGAUUCUACAUGAAUAUAUUUAUAUAUCUCUUUGGUAAAGUUAAUAUUUCAUUUCUUUGGAUGAAAGAAUCAUUCAAUAAUGAAAUAAACUUAUAAUGCAAAUAGACCACCUGAACAAAAUGCUUUUGGUGAAAUCUUUCAAAAUAUAGCAACGAGCACUCAGUAGCUAUUAAAAUUCUACUCUCGUAGAUAACAUCUCAAGCUAAAGAUGAUUUCAUGAUGGAAGGCUUUAUCAUGAGUAAAAUCAGGCAUCCCAACAUAUUACAUUUUAUUGGAGUCUUUUUCGACAGGCACCCAAGAUAGAAUUCGUAUUAGAAUUAUUAGCUGGUGAAAAAUUUCCUUCGUGAAGAAAGACGAAGACCGGAUCGUUCUACUACGUUAACUAUGUAUGAUUUGAUUAUCUGUGGCUACAAUGUUGCGAAUGAUUGUAAAUACGUGAAAGAGACACGUUUCAUACAUCGUGAUGAAAAUUUUAUAUUCACCUACAAAGGAUCUGAUUGUAUAGUAAACAACACGCACUUUGAUAUAGUUAGAGAUAUUUAUAAAAAAGAUUAUUACAUGAAAAACGGUAUAAAUAUGUUACCUAUCAAAUUGACAUCAUGAGAAAUUUUUCUAGAUGAUAUAUUUAUUACAAAAUAUGACAUCUGGUGAGUUUCAAUGACAAUGUUUUUCAAGAAAAUGAUUUCAAACAUUCAUUAUGUAUUACUAUUAUUAUUAACAUUUUGAUCCAUAAAAAAUUAAAUAACUUAUAAAUAAAAUUUUAUAUCAGACUGAUUUUAUAUCAAGAUUAAUUUUAUGGCGUCAUUUUAAUAGAUGAUCUCUCUAAUUUAAGUAAUGUUUAUAUUGUCUGUAUUUUACAGAUACAAAUAAUAAAUGAUGUAAUGAUUUUG